AUAUAUAUGUUGCCAAAAACAAUUGUUUGACAAAAACUAAAUAUGACCCGGAAGCAUGGCCGGACUUUUCUACUGAGCUGGAAGAAUUUAUAAAGUUGAAAAUCAGAUUCACACUACAAGAAAAAUGAGUUUUAAUAGCAGACCGGGAUAGCGUUUUUUUCGAUUGUGCUAUGGUUGACAUAACUAUUACUUUUAGAUAGCGUUUGUAUAUUUGGAAACGUUAUAAUAGAGGGGCAUAUUUGAAAACGCUAUAAUAGCGUAUGUUUAAUAGCAAAACAUUUUAAAAUGCUAUGUUUGGCUUUUUAAAUCCCUAAACCCUAAACAAGUUUUAAAACUCUACUCAUAAUAUAAACUUAAAAACUUUAAUAUUCUUGUACUAUAACUUCAAAUCUUAAACUUAAACUCAAAAUUUAUUCUUUUUAGUUUUAAUAUAUAAUUCCAAAUACACAAACUUUAAUUUCUCAACCAAACUCUAUACCCUAAACUCUACCUUCAAACAUAAGUCAUGCAUCCACUAAAUAUAAACUAUAAAUCUAAGUUUCAAUAAUUUAACAAAUUUCAAAUCUAAAUAUUAAUCAAAAAUAUUUAUACUCUUAAAAUUCCAAACCCCUGAAUCAUAACAUAACUCUUAAAUUUGUAUUUUUUAAAAAAUACUUAACAUAACUCUAAUUAUUCAAACCCUAUUAUGAAAUUUUUAAAAGUCAUAAAUUCAAAAAAUUCAAAUCAAAAUUUAUAUCUCAAAUGUUAAAUUAUAAUAUCUAAUCUUUAAAUUUAGGCAAGUUCUAAAAAAAUAAAUAAAAAGAAAUGUAAAACUAAUUUUUGUUGCCUCUAUUUUAUGGCCAUUGAUUAAUUCUAAUCCAAAGGUUAAAACUAUUUUUUUUUUGUCAAUCUUCAACCUUUUCUCUUAUUGGUUAAUUUUUUUUUCUCAAAGACCACAAUUUUUAGCAAUUGAUGAACUUUAAUCCAAUGGUUACAAUUAAAUCUCUCUCUUUCUCAUUUAUCUUCUCCUAUACGUCUCUCUAGUUGACCAAAAAAACCCAUCGAUAUUGCAGAGAAACAUAUCCAGUCUCUACGCUUUAUCCUUCUUUACCAGUCCCAAUGAUCCCAACUUCUCCUCCGCCACAGCUACUCCCCCCCCCCCCAACGCUGACGGUUCCGAUUCUCUGCUGGAAUUUCGUCGGGAAGUGCGGUGGGACCGAGAUCUUCAAGGUUCCGAUUAUGUCUGCAGUUCAUCCAAAUCGGCCUCCCAGUUUCGAGGCCAGACCCCAUCCUCAUAAGCAAAGUCAAAUCAGACGGUUCUUUGAGCUGGACAAUUGUGGGCUGGAGCUGAGGACGGUGGAUUGAAGAAUGAGACGUAGGAAGAAGGUGCGACCGAGGUGGUGCGGAGAUGAAAGAGGAAGAAGAAAUGCGGCGAGGUGAAUGGGACGAGCUUGAGGUGAUGGAUGCCGCGAAGACAAUGAAUCGUCAGAUCUGAAGAAGCUGUGGCAGCAGACGUUAGGGUCAUGGUGUGGAGGUGGAGCCAAGCACGAAAAAGAUAGAUGUGGCGGCAGUAGAUGAUUGAAAAUGGACUUUAAUUAGGUUUAGAAAUUUAGGUUUAGUUUCUAUUUUUUUUCAAAAAUUGGUUUAGCUUGGUUUAGUUUGGUUUAGUUUAAUAUACCAAUCCUUAAAUAUGUAAAUAAUAUCGAUAUAUAAAUUUUUUAUAAUAUUUUUAUUUGUAAUUUUUUUUUAAGUUUUAAUACUGUAAAUAAUAAAGAAAAUAAUACGCUAUUAAAAAAUAUUUAAUUGCACACAAAAAAACGCUAUAGUAUAUGACAAUAAGAUAGCAGCGCAAAAAACCGCUAUCUAAUGUGUCUGAUCUACUAUGACGGGCGAUGAUACAUCGCUUCAUAAACCGCUAUCGUAUCGUUAGAUAGUGUUUUUCGUCCGCUAAUAAAAGCUUUUUUUCUUGUAGUAUCACGAAGUUCUCGAUUGUCUUUGUUCCUCGCUCGGAAAAUGUAUCGUCUUAUUCAUUAGCUAAGAUAGCGAGAUCCUUCCAUAGGGAAUUGUAUUAUAUUGGUUGUUCUGUUCCGGUUUGGUUCCCUAGACCACCUCAAGCUUGAGUAAUAGAAUAUCCGUUUGAAGAAAAAAAAUAAAAGACAAAAACUAAAUAUAGAAUUGCUCAAAAGAGGAUUCAUUAAAGAUAUAAAAACACUUCUACCCUUACUUUACUUAAAUAUAAACAAUUAUUUAAAUAACAAAUUAAAUAUAUAUUUUUAAUUAUUUUAAUUUAAAAAAAAUAAUUCGGACGUUUUUUGAUUUUUUGGAAUUCUUUUUUUCAAAAAAAAAUUCAAAUUUUAUUUUGAAAUAUGGAAAUUAUUUUAAAAAUAUUUUCAAAUUAUUAUUUAAAAUUUUAAAUAUUAAUUUAAAAAAAAAUCAUAAAUCUCAUCCUUAAUAUCCGAACUCUAAAUCUAGAUUAAUUAACCUAAGAGUAUAAGUAUUUUUACCUUUUUAAUGAAACUUUUUGGUCAUUUUGACCAUUGAAUGUUAUAUUUGUUAUAAAAAAUAACUUUUUAGUUAUAUUAUAUGGAAUUUCUCUAUUAUUAAUCAAUACCUUUUCUUUUCAAAAUAGUCCAUGUUUUAGAAAAUAAAUAUUUGAAAAAAUAUAUUUUAUAUUUUCAAUAUAUUUUUUAUUAGUUAAUAAUGAUGAUAAGUCAUUUUAUAAAAAAAUAUUUUUUUUUAGAUUUUAAUUGUUUAAAAUUGUGAAAAUAACUAAUCAUAAAAAAUAAUAUAUUUAUAAUCAAAAUAUAAUAUAUUUUUAAAUAUGUAUAAAAACUUUACAGCAUAUAUCAUUUUGAAAUAGAAUGAAUAAAAACUAAGUCAAGCAUAUUAAUAGUGAUAUCAUUAUACUCCACAAACAAAAACAAUAAUUUGAUUUUCAGACAACCUGAUCAAGCAUCAAGAUUAUUAUUAUUAUAUCAUACUAGUCAUCAAUCCUCGUAAUACCAUUGGACUGACAAAAAUAAAAAUAAAAAAGUUCUUGGACCACAAUCGGGGUGCUUACCGCGGUGCUUAACCAUUUAAAAAAAAAUAAAAAAAGUAAGCAGCAGCGCUUGAACAAGCGUAGUAAGCGUCGGUUGUUCCCACUGUUCGCGGGUCCCACUGAUACGUGGCGGUUCGCCAUUGGUUUAUUUUUAAUUUUUUUUAAUCAGACAAAAACCUAAAAAAAAAAAAUAAAAAAUUAAGCACUCCGUUUGGGGUGCUAGGGUUAAUUAUGCCCUUAGAGCACCAUUAACCAUGAGUGCUUAAGGGGUGCUUAUCAUUUUUUUUAAUUACAAAAAAAAGGAAAGAGAAAAAAAAGAAGAAAAAGUGCUUAAUUAGGCAUCAAAAGCAGCUGUUGCUUGCACUGUUCGCGGGCUCCACAGAUACGUGGCGGCCCGCGAUUGGUCAUUUUUUUUUUUUUUUUAAGCACCCCAACUUAAGCAACUGGUGGGUUAACGGUGCUCUUACGCGCUUUCGAAAAAUAUCAACAAUGGCAAAUACGUAAAUAUAAAUAGCCAAAGGGGCAUUUUGUUUAUAUAAAGACGAGGAUAAAAAUGAAGCGAACGAUUAUUAUUCAUUCUCCACCAAGGUGGACAGCAAGUGGUAGCAACAAAGCACUUCUCUUUUGAUUCUUCAUAUCAUAAACCAAUAAAUCUUUUGCUUCAAUCCGCAAGAAUCAAUCUCUCUCUCUCUCUCUCUGCAAAACCAAACCAGAUAGUUGUAAUAUGGAGGCUACGAAGAAACAUAUAAUUCAAGAUAGAUCUUCAAUCUUUUAUCAUCAACCAUCUUCACUCCAGCAAAUGAACCUUUCUGUUCAAACAUUUGAUUGUUACUGCACACUUGAAUCCUCUCCAGGCACCAAGUCUCAUGCAUGUCUUAACAACAACACUUCUUCAACCACUAGCUUUUCCUCUAACGGCAACUCAUCAGAGUUGAAUCAUUCUCCUGAGGACAACAGCAACUCUCCCCUAAGCGGUUCUUCAGCAACAAACAACAACGAGGCAGAGCUUAGUCUCAUGCUGAAAGAAUUGGAGACUGCAAUGAUGGAGCCUGAACUAGACAACAAUGAUAAGAGAUUGUAUGUUAUUUGUUUCUGUUCCGCCCAACCUCCCUCUCUUGUAUUCUACACUCUAGAAGUACAAGCCAAAUAUAGAGAUCUUCUCAAGACGUCUCACACGUCGAGAGCCUGAGAUCAAGACCCUAGUCUAUAGAUCUUUACACAGUACUCAAAAAGACCCUUUUCUUUCUCUUCAAACUAUUAUUUAUACUCCUCUCA
Brassica napus (rape) is the source of this 4294-nucleotide long non-coding RNA. RefSeq lists it as uncharacterized. The transcript is spliced from 3 exons. The record is from RefSeq and is a predicted model, not a curated record. Lineage: Eukaryota; Viridiplantae; Streptophyta; Magnoliopsida; Brassicales; Brassicaceae.